This 435-nucleotide ribosomal RNA is filed under the name uncultured bacterium. RNAcentral describes it as "partial 16S ribosomal RNA". It matches the Rfam family "Bacterial small subunit ribosomal RNA", at positions 29 to 507 of the family's 1533-position model. The record is from RNAcentral.
AGCGAACGCUGGCGGCAGGCUUAACACAUGCAAGUCGAGCGGGCACUUUCGGGUGUCAGCGGCGGACGGGUGAGUAACGCGUGGGAACGUGCCCUCUGGUUCGGAAUAACUCAGGGAAACUUGAGCUAAUACCGGAUACGCCCUUUUGGGGAAAGGCUUGCUGCCGGAGGAUCGGCCCGCGUCUGAUUGGCUAGUUGGUGAGGUAACGGCUCACCAAGGCGACGAUCAGUAGCUGGUCUGAGAGGAUGAUCAGCCACACUGGGACUGAGACACGGCCCAGACUCCUACGGGAGGCAGCAGUGGGGAAUAUUGGACAAUGGGCACAAGCCUGAUCCAGCCAUGCCGCGUGAGUGAUGAAGGCCUUAGGGUUGUAAAGCUCUUUUAUCCGGGACGAUAAUGACGGUACCGGAGGAAUAAGCCCCGGCUAACUUCGUG